CGCAGGUGUUCAGAGGAGGAAGGCAGGAUGGGAGGGCCGGGUGUUGCGUCUAGGUAGCGAGGAAGAGGGGAGAAAGCUAAGAACCUUGGCCUUUAAGUUCUUGCAAGGAUCAAAGGGUAUGCUGAUGCUGCUCAGGGGCGAUCGACGUGGACUACCGUGGCCUGGUGGGCAUCGUGCUCUUCAACCACUUGGAGGUGGAUUUCAUCGUGACGCAGGAGGUCGCCGAGGUAGAGGACCACGACGCUACCGUCCGCCGGGAGGGACUACUUGGAUCCACCGACGUUUCAACUCCGAAACUUGGUAGAUACAUCUAGGGAAGUGGUCUAGUUGUUUGCAUCUGAUGUUAAAUGGGGUCUUGAGAUCUCGAGUUGAGAUGUUCAAUGUUGUAUCCACGAAUGUUGCAAGUGCUAAGAUGGUUCUGUGAACUUAGUUUAUUUGCAUUGGACGUGUCUUGAUUUC
Triticum urartu is the source of this 459-nucleotide non-coding RNA. Lineage: Eukaryota; Viridiplantae; Streptophyta; Magnoliopsida; Poales; Poaceae. The record is from RefSeq and is a predicted model, not a curated record.